GCCGGUUGAUGAUAAUAUCUCAUUGCAAAAAGAACAACAGAUACCAAAGUUGAGAAGUACACUUUCAGCUAGGAAUCUUUUUGCUGGUGGUGAUUUGUUGAAUAAGGUGACUGACUUCUGCAAUGAGCUGAAGAAACUAGUAACCAUCAGAACUAAAGAGAAAGAGAAUGGUGCAAAUGAGAACUUGGAAACAAGUCCACUGAUGGGGAAUAAACAAAAGGCAAAAGAUUGUAUUGUUGAUGAUGAGCAAAGGGAAAGGAAGCCAUUGUUUGAGAUGACUAAAGAGACUAAUGAAACAGUGUCAAAAGGCAACAUUAAGGAGAAACAGAGAAGGAAACUACUGUAAGUUUCACAUAUUUCUUGCCAUCUGUAUCCUCACAGACAAACAUUUACAUGUUUUGUAGAUAAUUUCACAUAAUAAUGUUACCCCAUUAAAUAGUUAAUUUAGUCAACCAUUUUUUUAAGAUGUAACUUGUAAAGGAACAUUGUUUUGAGAGUAUCAUAAUCAAACUAUAGUUCACACGGAAGAUCUCAUUGUUUAUAAUAUUUCUAUUAGGUUGAUACCAUACUUUUGCUAAUUCUAAAAUAUAAUGGGAUGAUCAUUCAGAGGCGGACAAGAAUUUAAAAUUGAUCGGUUCAACCUUGAGAGUUCUUAGCCACUGAAUUCAUUGCACUUUUGAAAUUUAAAAUUAUGGGUUCGAAAUUUAAUAUUUGUUGAUAUUUAGUGGUUUAUGUGUCGAGAAAAUUGGUUCAGUCAGAAUGUAUAGCACAUAGAUUGCAUCCCCCUAUGUGGCCAUUAUGCUAAUAACAUCAACAGGUUAAACAAAUACUUAGAGGUGGUUAUGUUUUAUUAGAGGGUACUGAGUAUUACUCUUGUUGAACUAUAUCUAUGCAGGAGAAAUGAUAAUGCAGAAAACACACCAAUACUUGUGGAUGUGAAGAACAUUAAGCGCAAAGAUGAAGAAAUCUUGUCCCAAAUCCGCACGAAUCCUCCCACUCCUCAGUGUUUCUCGGCCAGCCGUGGAACU
Molecule: long non-coding RNA, 1028 nt
Filed under: Nicotiana tabacum (common tobacco)
Lineage: Eukaryota; Viridiplantae; Streptophyta; Magnoliopsida; Solanales; Solanaceae
Description: long non-coding RNA (NTAB_LNC010134)
Source: RNAcentral